This 496-nucleotide ribosomal RNA is filed under the name uncultured bacterium. Its description in RNAcentral is "partial 16S ribosomal RNA". It matches the Rfam family "Bacterial small subunit ribosomal RNA", at positions 29 to 507 of the family's 1533-position model. The record is from RNAcentral.
AUGAACGCUGGCGGCGUGCCUAAUACAUGCAAGUCGAGCGAACGGACGAGAAGCUUGCUUCUCUGAUGUUAGCGGCGGACGGGUGAGUAACACGUGGAUAACCUACCUAUAAGACUGGGAUAACUUCGGGAAACCGUAGCUAAUACCGGAUAAUAUUUUGAACCGCAUGGUUCAAGAGUGAAAGACGGUCUUGCUGUCACUUAUAGAUGGAUCCGCGCUGCAUUAGCUAGUUGGUAAGGUAACGGCUUACCAAGGCAACGAUGCAUAGCCGACCUGAGAGGGUGAUCGGCCACACUGGAACUGAGACACGGUCCAGACUCCUACGGGAGGCAGCAGUAGGGAAUCUUCCGCAAUGGGCGAAAGCCUGACGGAGCAACGCCGCGUGAGUGAUGAAGGUCUUCGGAUCGUAAAACUCUGUUAUUAGGGAAGAACAUAUGUGUAAGUAACUGUGCACAUCUUGACGGUACCUAAUCAGAAAGCCACGGCUAACUACGUG